UACGAACCGUACGAGCGUUAUUCGGAAUCACUGGGCUUAAAGGGUGCGUAGGCGGCGCUACAAGUUGGGUGUGAAAUCCCUCGGCUCAACCGAGGAACUGCGCCCAAAACUGUCUUGCUCGAGGGAGACAGAGGUGAGCGGAACUUAGGGUGGAGCGGUGAAAUGCGUUGAUAUCCUAAGGAACACCGGUGGCGAAAGCGGCUCACUGGGUCUCUUCUGACGCUGAGGCACGAAAGCUAGGGUAGCGAACGGG
Molecule: ribosomal RNA, 253 nt
Filed under: uncultured bacterium
Lineage: Bacteria
Description: partial 16S ribosomal RNA
Rfam family: Bacterial small subunit ribosomal RNA
Source: RNAcentral